Molecule: ribosomal RNA, 1443 nt
Filed under: uncultured organism
Description: partial small subunit ribosomal RNA
Rfam family: Bacterial small subunit ribosomal RNA
Source: RNAcentral
GACGAACGCUGGCGGCGUGCUUAACACAUGCAAGUCGAACGGAAAGGCCCUGCUUUUGUGGGGUGCUCGAGUGGCGAACGGGUGAGUAUCACGUGAGUAACCUGCCCUUGACUUUGGGAUAACUUCAGGAAACUGGGGCUAAUACCGGAUAGGAGCUCCUGCUGCAUGGUGGGGGUUGGAAAGUUUCGGCGGUUGGGGAUGGACUCGCGGCUUAUCAGCUUGUUGGUGGGGUAGUGGCUUACCAAGGCUUUGACGGGUAGCCGGCCUGAGAGGGUGACCGGCCACAUUGGGACUGAGAUACGGCCCAGACUCCUACGGGAGGCAGCAGUGGGGAAUAUUGCACAAUGGGCGGAAGCCUGAUGCAGCAACGCCGCGUGCGGGAUGACGGCCUUCGGGUUGUAAACCGCUUUCGCCUGUGACGAAGCGUGAGUGACGGUAAUGGGUAAAGAAGCACCGGCUAACUACGUGCCAGCAGCCGCGGUGAUACGUAGGGUGCGAGCGUUGUCCGGAUUUAUUGGGCGUAAAGGGCUCGUAGGUGGUUGAUCGCGUCGGAAGUGUAAUCUUGGGGCUUAACCCUGAGCGUGCUUUCGAUACGGGUUGACUUGAGGAAGGUAGGGGAGAAUGGAAUUCCUGGUGGAGCGGUGGAAUGCGCAGAUAUCAGGAGGAACACCAGUGGCGAAGGCGGUUCUCUGGGCCUUUCCUGACGCUGAGGAGCGAAAGCGUGGGGAGCGAACAGGCUUAGAUACCCUGGUAGUCCACGCUGUAAACGGUGGGUACUAGGUGUGGGGUCCAUUCCACGGGUUCCGUGCCGUAGCUAACGCUUUAAGUACCCCGCCUGGGGAGUACGGCCGCAAGGCUAAAACUCAAAGGAAUUGACGGGGCCCCGCACAAGCGGCGGAGCAUGCGGAUUAAUUCGAUGCAACGCGUAGAACCUUACCUGGGUUUGACAUGGAUCGGGAGUGCUCAGAGAUGGGUGUGCCUCUUUUGGGGUCGGUUCACAGGUGGUGCAUGGCUGUCGUCAGCUCGUGUCGUGAGAUGUUGGGUUAAGUCCCGCAACGAGCGCAACCCUUGUUCACUGUUGCCAGCACGUUAUGGUGGGGACUCAGUGGAGACCGCCGGGGUCAACUCGGAGGAAGGUGGGGAUGACGUCAAGUCAUCAUGCCCCUUAUGUCCAGGGCUUCACGCAUGCUACAAUGGCUGGUACAGAGAGUGGCGAGCCUGUGAGGGUGAGCGAAUCUCGGAAAGCCGGUCUCAGUUCGGAUUGGGGUCUGCAACUCGACCUCAUGAAGUCGGAGUCGCUAGUAAUCGCAGAUCAGCAACGCUGCGGUGAAUACGUUCCCGGGGCUUGUACACACCGCCCGUCAAGUCAUGAAAGUUGGUAACACCCGAAGCCGGUGGCCUAACCGUUGUGGGGGAGCCGUCGAAGGUGGGACUGGUGAUUAG